RNAcentral lists this transfer RNA (72 nucleotides) under Neotoma lepida (desert woodrat). It matches the Rfam family "tRNA". From Rfam's summary of the family: Transfer RNA (tRNA) molecules are approximately 80 nucleotides in length. Their secondary structure includes four short double-helical elements and three loops (D, anti-codon, and T loops). The record is from Rfam by way of RNAcentral. Lineage: Eukaryota; Metazoa; Chordata; Mammalia; Rodentia; Cricetidae.
GGGGGUAUCCCUCAGUUGUAGAGCACUUGCCUACCACACAUGAGGCCCUGGGUUCCAACCCCAGCACCACCA